UACGGAGGGUGCGAGCGUUAAUCGGAAUUACUGGGCGUAAAGCGCGCGUAGGUGGCUUGAUAAGCCGGUUGUGAAAGCCCCGGGCUCAACCUGGGAACUGCAUCCGAAACUGGCAGGCUAGAGUCUUUUAGAGGGGGGUAGAAUUCCAGGUGUAGCGGUGAAAUGCGUAGAUAUAGGAAGGAAUACCAGUGGCGAAGGCGGCCUUCUGGUCUGACACUGACGCUGAGGUGCGAAAGCGUGGGUAGCAAACAGG
Molecule: unclassified non-coding RNA, 253 nt
Filed under: uncultured Halomonadaceae bacterium
Lineage: Bacteria; Pseudomonadati; Pseudomonadota; Gammaproteobacteria; Oceanospirillales; Halomonadaceae
Description: contains 16S-23S intergenic spacer region
Rfam family: Bacterial small subunit ribosomal RNA
Source: RNAcentral